This is a long non-coding RNA of Felis catus (domestic cat), 4870 nucleotides long. RefSeq lists it as uncharacterized. The record is from RefSeq and is a predicted model, not a curated record. Lineage: Eukaryota; Metazoa; Chordata; Mammalia; Carnivora; Felidae. The transcript is spliced from 3 exons.
CCCCGCGCUCGGCGCCGGCCGCGCCAUGGGGGAGGGGCGGGGCGGGCCGCGCGAGACCCGGGAAACAUGGCUGCUCGUCCUAUUUCGGCGUCGCGGCGUGGCCACCAGCCCCCGGAUCCGAGUUGGGAGAGGCUCCGAAGAGGCUCCCGCGCCGGCGGAAUUCAAUCAAUAAACCCCGAACCCACGGCCGCGCGUUUUAGGACUUUGAAGGCUCAACCAGCUCCGCUCGGUUCUCGAGCCCCCAGCACCCGCGGCGCACACUAACCUGAUCACGGUGGAGGCGGGACCUGCGGGCCGGCGGAUGAGCGGCAACAGCUGGAGCCAAUCGCCGCCGAGGGUCUCCGGGCAACAGCCAAUGGUGGCAGCGGCGGGGGGGGAAGGGACCAAUGGGCGGGCUGCGCAGCCGGCCAGGGAGGCUCAGCCAUUUGGUUGUGGUGCCGGAGACGGACCCCUUUAGAUUUCGGGGCGGCUGAGGAGCGCGGCGGCUGCUUGGUGGCUGAGCUAGGGGGGUGGGCAGAAUGGCGGGGGAAGGGAAGGUGACUGCGCCUCGAGAGCCUAGCCGCUCGGCCUCGCCAGCCCGCCGCCGCCGCCUCAGCGUUUGGCCGGGGGCGGGGCCGCAGGUGCGUUACUCGAGGGGGAGGGGCGCGGCCGGAGGGGUCGGGGUCGGGAUCCUCGCAGGGCCGAGGGCUUCGCGGGGACGCCCUGGGCCUGCCCGCCUCGCUGGAGCGGGUUGGUGAAAGAGGUGGACGUCCGGCGCGAGGUCUCGGGGCCGCGGGCUGCCCCGCGGGCGGGCUGAUGAAAGGCCUGGAAAGAGGGGGGAGGGGUCAAGGGUGCAGUGGGAGGAGGGGCUGGUCAUUUUCUGGGUCCGGAGGGCCGCGCGGUGGAGCGUGGCUGCUGCCCUCCACCCCCUCCGCGGGUUCCCACCCCCCCCCCCGGCUGCGGCUCACAGCCCGCGCGCCCCUUCGCCUCCCGCCUCGUCCUCGUCCAGCCGCGGCCAUCGCCGCCCCUCUAAUAAACAAGUAAAUGAAAGCAAGAUGCGUCCACCUUUGGAUGACUUUCCUCGCGGUCUUGACCCUCUCUACGGAGGGGCCUUUCAAUUUGCUGUCAUGUAAGGUCAGCCUGGAAGGAGCGAUCACCAAGAGGCACCCAGGAUCUUGUUCAGCCAAUAAAUGAAUGGAGACCAUGGAUUAAGAGUUGUUGCUGAAUAUACUGAAUAUUAAAAAAAAAAAAAAAAAGUGAAAAGGGAAGGUGCUAAUAACUUCUGGUUUUCUGGUCCAAACAUAAUUUGAUGGGCUUUGUAGACCUAGUGAAAGGAAACGGCGCACAGUUUAUUCUAAUCGUCCACCUGACUCAUUUGGUUCAAUUUGGGUUGCCAAAGAGGCUCUAUUUGGAGCACUUUCUCCAGGUUUUACGGUUUGCUUGCUUUGGGUUUUUUGUUUUGUUUUGUUUUGUUUUGUUCUGUUUUGUUCAUCACAUUAGUUUUUAGACCUUAAAGCCUUCAUCCCCACUGGGUUACCUACUUCUUAUGGCCAGGCCUUGGACCUUGUCAUGUACUAGGUUGGCUGCCUAUGGCUGUUAAUAAAUCAUGGGAAUUGUUGUCAACAAGGACGGAUCCAUCGUUACCCUUCCACACAAGUGUUUUUCAGUGCUUCUAUUUCUGUGUGUCUACACUUUUCCUUAUACACGCCAAGGUGGUUUUUAGGUGGGGAUACAUUGUAUUUUAUUUUUCAGGCACAUGGGUUCAAGGGAGCGAUAAAGCAGUAUGUAUGUUGCAAAUUUGAAAUAUUGUUACAUAACACCAAUACAGUUUCAUUCUUGAGCAUAUAAAGUUGAGGAGGAAAUAGAAAGUGACGGAAUGUAAAUAAAACGCAGAGAAUGCUCACACUGGGGAAGAAACUGUAGUAACUCUGAUACUGUAACCUGAUGGAUUGUAAACUUAAAAUCCUACAGCCAAGCAUUUUACUCGGUAAAUUUUUCUUUCAGAUAAAAUAAUAAGUGGAAUUUGAAAAGUGAUAAUGUUUACCCUGAGUAGCUGGGAAAUCCAAAAUAAAAAUGGAAAGCCAUUGUUUUAUUUCAUCAGGGUAGUAGCGUGUAAUGUAUUUGACUUGUUGACUUAGCCCACAUGUUUGUCUUCCUCAGUUUUUAUAAUCUCGUUGAACUCAGUUUGUGUAGUUGGAAUUUAUUUAUUUUAAAACUGUAUUGGCUUUGUUAUAGGACAUACAGGGACCCUAAAUUACCUCUCUUUGCCAGAGUCAGUUGUUAUUUCUGGAUAUAGCAUUUAAGGUGGUUUCGAAACAGCUUUUCCUCACAUACAUUAAGUCAAUAUGAUGUGUAGAAGAUAUGUAACAGAGGAGUACUGAAGGUUAUGUUCUAUUUGAUGGUAAAUGCUUGUCUUCAAUUUGAAUUUUUGACCACAGUUAAGUCCACACUGCUAGCAAUGUGAUAGGGAAACAGGGCCUUUCCAGAGGACUAAUCCUUUAAAAGCCAACCAAUCAAAUGCAGAGAUGUUCCCUUAUCCAGCUCUGCUAAACAGAAGCAAAUAGCUCACCUUGUCACACAAAGAUUGCAGAAGAUGACUUGGAAGCCUAAACCCCCGUGAAAGAGAGUUACAGGACAAAUUAAGGUUACAAUUGAAAAAAAUUGUAGUUUGGUCACUAAGUCAAAAUAUCAAGCAACAAUUGUUUUUAGAAGGAUCUUUUAAACAUUUUGAUAGCAGAUUUUGUAUUGGUGUCAGAAAAUUGAAAGAAGGCUUCACUAGAUUCCAAUCGUACAGAAGUUGAAAUAUCCAAAAAGUAUAUAUAACCAAUUGAAUACUUAACUUCCCAUAUUCCAACAUACUUUUUUUAAACGAUUUUUUUUUUUAAGUAAUCUCUAUACCCAACAUGGGCUCUAACAACCCCAAGAUCAAGAGACACUUGCUCUCCCACUGAGCCAGCCAGGUGCCCCUCCAACAUACUUUGAAAGGACAGACUUCCUCUCACUUCCACAAAUAGAUUUGUUUGUAGUUUAUUUCUAAGAAAAUUUUAAUGAUUCUGACUUUUUCUUACCAAAAGGAAAUGGAAAUUUCACUCUAAAGCUGAGCCAUUUACCCCAUGCCACUUGACAAAAAAAAAAAAAAAAGAACUCUUAAUAUUCCUUAUUUUAUGGAGUUGUUUCUUAAAUUACAUUUCAUUGCAUAAUAUAGUAUUAAACAAACGCUCUGAAUGAUUCUGAAUAUCAGAAGAUAGAGUAAGAAAAGCGCAUUCUAUAGUGGGAGUUUGGUUAUAAAAGUUGCAGUCUGUAACUUCUGGAGCUGGAUUUGAUUCACACUGAGAAGAAUAAAUGAGCUAGAAAGUUGGCCUUCAAGUAAGGAAAGAUGUCUUCCUGCCUUCCAGGAUAUUCUAGAAUGUUUUUCCUUCAAGAACCAUUCCAAAUAGAUGAGCACCCUAUGUUCUCUAAGAGGUCUGAUCUGAGCAAUGGAUGUCUUAGCUUCUUGAUACAUGUUGGAAAGUACUGUUUUAUAAAUAACCCACAGUGAGGCUGCCGCCGUGUAAGCUCAUUUGCCCUUGCUUGGUGUCCAAAGAUGGAGGCCCUCUGGUUAGCAUUCUUUUUAGGAGUUGAACGAAUGUAUUCACAGGUCAACUUUUCGUUCUUCAGCCCGAAUCACAUACAUUGGAACCUGGCCAUUGUACUUUUUCACCUACAUCAUGGUUCUGCUGCCUGGACCCCAAAAGACAAUGAUAUGGAAAGACUCCAGCUUAAUUAUGUUCUCUUUUGUCUUUCUAUAUAAAUAGCUUUUAGAAAUGUAGAUUAUUCUUUUGAAAUCCAUGGUAACAAAUGUGAAGACUACUGCAUUUUGGUUUGAAUAGCAAAAGACUGUUGAGGUCCAGGAUCUAAAAAGUUAACUAUUAAUUCUUUUGCUUAAUAAAGCAUUGAGUGGUUUUAUUUUUUAAAUUAUUGAAUAGUUACUUUUUCAAUGAGUUGGGCAUAGAGAAAAAGCACUGCUAGAUGAAAAGUCAUCCCAUGUGAUUUUUAAAAUUAAAUUAAUAGUAAAAAUUUUAAAGCCACCUUAAGGAUGCUUUAUUUUGAAAAGGAAAAAAAAAAAUCAACAUCACCUGCACACUAGUUUGGAAAUCACUAGAGUUUUUUUGAAUCCGAUUCUUAAAUAUAUUUAUUAAAGAUAAUUCAGGGGUUGCAAUAAGAGAAAGUUGAUUACCGUUCACCAAGAACACCAGAACUAUAAGCUCUGGCAUCUGGUAUUAAAAUAUGACUAAAAAUAGAUGCCUUAAAGGCAAAUAAUGGAAUGAGAAGCCAUUAGAACAAGACUGUGACUAAGGGUAAGCUAGGCUGAAAAAACAGAAAUGCAAUUAAUUUCAAACUUACUAUUUGUUUUAUUUUAUUUUUUUCCUUAAGUAGACUGCAUGCCCAGUGCUGAGCCCAACAUGGGCCUUGAACACACAACCCUGGGAUCAAGACCUGAGCUGAGAUCAAGAGUCAGAUGCUUAAUCUACUGAGCCACCCAGGCACCCCCCUACUCAUUUGUUUUAAUCUAUCUGCAGUUGAAGUUUGCCACUGAAGAAAAAGGUUCCCACCCAAGGAUUGAAUUGUCUUAAAAGCAAUUCGUAAGAGAGAUGGGAAUGACAGAGCUCACUAACUCUAAUUUUGUGUCUAUGCCAAUUUUAAAGAGGAUACACAAUUUUCCUUCCUUUGGGUUUUGCAUUCUUCAAAAAGCAAGAAGGAAUGAGAUGGCAAAGCUCAACGAUGUGAAACCAUGAAACUCCUAGAAGAAAACAUAACGGGUAAACUCCUUGACAUUGGUCUUGACAAUGACUUUUUGGAUGUGACACCAAAAGCAAAAGCGACCAAAGCAAAAAUAAAUAGGUGGGACUAC